AUGAACGCUGGCGGCGUGCCUCAUCCAUGCCAGUCGAGCGAACAGACGAGGAGCUUGCUCCUCUGACGUUAGCGGCGGACGGGUGAGUAACACGUGGAUAACCUACCUAUAAGACUGGGAUAACUUCGGGAAACCGGAGCUAAUACCGGAUAAUAUAUUGAACCGCAUGGUUCAAUAGUGAAAGACGGUUUUGCUGUCACUUAUAGAUGGAUCCGCGCCGCAUUAGCUAGUUGGUAAGGUAACGGCUUACCAAGGCAACGAUGCGUAGCCGACCUGAGAGGGUGGUCGGCCACACUGGAACUGAGACACGGUCCAGACUCCUACGGGAGGCAGCAGUAGGGAAUCUUCCGCAAUGGGCGAAAGCCUGACGGAGCAACGCCGCGUGAGUGAUGAAGGUCUUCGGAUCGUAAAACUCUGUUAUUAGGGAAGAACAAAUGUGUAAGUAACUAUGCACGUCUUGACGGUACCUAAUCAGAAAGCCACGGCUAACUACGUG
RNAcentral lists this ribosomal RNA (496 nucleotides) under uncultured bacterium. RNAcentral's name for it is "partial 16S ribosomal RNA". It matches the Rfam family "Bacterial small subunit ribosomal RNA", at positions 29 to 507 of the family's 1533-position model. The record is from RNAcentral.